UCCUAUCUCGCUCCAGAUCCCAUUCGUGCUUCUCUCCUUCACCUCUCCUUCAUCUUCUUCUUCUCGAAUCCAUGGCGACGCCACUCUCCACGUAUCCUGAUAGACUUUGUUGGUUUUGAAUCUUUUUCUUACCGGUCUGUGUGAGCGUAUGGGUGGAACAGCUGUGCCCGAUCUACAGGGAGAGGGAGCCAUGGGAGAAACGAAUCGGGAACGAGUGUUGAACUAAAGAAAGAAAGGUGACGAGGAGAAGAUGGAGAUCGGGAAUUGGCCAUCGAGGUUUGGUCCCCAAGAGUUUGAGACAUCUUGCAGCACCGGUCUACUAUAAUCUAUUGUAAGGCAGUGGCAGAUUGAUGGUAAAGAAACUCUGUAAAGCAGCUCGGCAGGACAUAUUUUCUCGUCCAUGACUCUGCUUUCUAAGGAGGAUUCCGUUUAAAGUUUCAGUUCAUCCACCAAGUGUGAAUUUAGGCUGUUCGAUCUCUCUGUUAAAGGUUGUGGCAUUCUAUCUGAUACUGGGACCUUGAAGGAUUCACAAUCUUAAACUGUCAAUGAACCCGGGACUAUGAUGACCUUUCUGACCUUUUACCUUGUAAGAAAAGCUGUCCUUCAGAAUCAGCAAAGCAAAACUUAUAUGGGCACCAAUAUUCAAUGACAACAUUAACUCAGCAAGUGUGUGGUUAUAGAGGAGGAACCGUGUGUGGAUUCCCAUCCCUCAGCGAGUAGGUAGUUCACACUGGAGCCUUGGCAAUGGACACCGCAUAGCUGUCUUAGAGGACCACAAUCAAAUUAAUGUCAUCACAGUAGGAGGCCGGCAGAACAUUGCAGAGAAACCUAUCUGACUCCAGGGGUGGCAGGGCUAUCAUUCAAGACAGAUGACCCCAAUAUGACCUUCAGCUAUCGUUGUCAUCCAAGCCUGAGCCUAAAUAGGGUGCUCGUCCGGUGACUACUGAUCGAGAUUCCAUUACAGGGAAGUGAAGUUGAAUUCCUACUGUAGUAACUGAAGCUUUAAAUAUAUUGAGCAAGAGACUUCCAGCUGUUCGAAGGGAAAGCUCCGUAAUUUACUGCUGGGCCUCGCGAAUAUGGGGAACUCAUGAAUGCACUGCUGCUAUAAAAGUAUCCUGGGUUCCCUAAGUUGAAGUUUGUAUCAUGAUGUGUACCUGUGGUCACACAUGUUGGUCUCGCAACAUGUGUGAAGGACUCCAAAUAGGAUAUAGUUGAGGCAAAGAUAUGUCACAGGCGGCCAUGAUCAUAGCGAUGUGUGGCUGGAUGCAGAUUUAAAGAGACGUAGGAAGAUGAAGGCUUGAUGCAACAAGGCCUAGUAGGCUGUUAUCAGGGAAGAAAUGUACCAGCUACUAGGAUGGUCAGAUAAACUACUGACUUUUCCAUGUUUAGCUAUUAAACCUCCAGGACUGAUGCAGUGUAGGGUGGGCCUUCUGAAAUGUCUGGACACAUGGACAGGCCUUGUGUAUGAAUGUUUGCACUUGAUAUUUGGACAGUGAUAUCCAGAGGGUUUAUAAAUGCACAUCGUUUUUAUUAGAUGCGUAUGUAUUAAUUACCUUGGACAGGUUUUUUUGGGUAAAAAUUACCUUGGACAGUUUGCAGC
Long non-coding RNA from Elaeis guineensis (African oil palm), 1600 nucleotides. RefSeq lists it as uncharacterized. Lineage: Eukaryota; Viridiplantae; Streptophyta; Magnoliopsida; Arecales; Arecaceae. The record is from RefSeq and is a predicted model, not a curated record.